Molecule: non-coding RNA, 29 nt
Filed under: Rattus norvegicus (Norway rat)
Lineage: Eukaryota; Metazoa; Chordata; Mammalia; Rodentia; Muridae
Source: RNAcentral
UCCAAGAGGAAUGUGUCCAAAAGGUUUAC